RNAcentral lists this unclassified non-coding RNA (264 nucleotides) under Hevea brasiliensis (rubber tree). Lineage: Eukaryota; Viridiplantae; Streptophyta; Magnoliopsida; Malpighiales; Euphorbiaceae. The record is from RNAcentral.
GAUAAUCAUCAUUCAUGGUUACAACAGUUGGUUGAUCUUUGUGGUUCUAUCUCUGAGAUAAGGAAGGCAUGGAGUCGUCACAUCAAAUUGUUUCCUCAGUUCAUAAGAACCAAUACUUCAUCUAAACACAUAGGUACUGAGAAGAGUUCACUGCACAACUUUACUGAGCAAAGGAAAAAUAUUUCUUAUGUCUUAGUUAAUCAGCCAUCAAAAGGAACAAGCUCUGGACAUAUGAUCCAGCUGUCCGAAGGAGAGCAGGUGCAU